RNAcentral lists this non-coding RNA (111 nucleotides) under Climacostomum virens. Lineage: Eukaryota; Ciliophora; Heterotrichea; Heterotrichida; Climacostomidae. The record is from RNAcentral.
UCUGCGAAGACAAGAACGUCCCGUACGUGUUUGUGCCAUCCAAGACGGCCCUCGGCCGCUCGGCACAGGUGUCCCGCAACGUCGUUGCCCUCGCCAUCCUUCAGUCGGACA